RNAcentral lists this ribosomal RNA (465 nucleotides) under Vreelandella stevensii. RNAcentral's name for it is "partial 16S ribosomal RNA". It matches the Rfam family "Bacterial small subunit ribosomal RNA", at positions 338 to 795 of the family's 1533-position model. Lineage: Bacteria; Pseudomonadati; Pseudomonadota; Gammaproteobacteria; Oceanospirillales; Halomonadaceae. The record is from RNAcentral.
CCUACGGGGGGCAGCAGUGGGGAAUAUUGGACAAUGGGCGCAAGCCUGAUCCAGCCAUGCCGCGUGUGUGAAGAAGGCCUUCGGGUUGUAAAGCACUUUCAGUGGGGAAGAAAGCCUUGGGGCUAAUACCCUCGAGGAAGGACAUCACCCACAGAAGAAGCACCGGCUAACUCCGUGCCAGCAGCCGCGGUAAUACGGAGGGUGCGAGCGUUAAUCGGAAUUACUGGGCGUAAAGCGCGCGUAGGCGGUCUGAUAAGCCGGUUGUGAAAGCCCCGGGCUCAACCUGGGAACGGCAUCCGGAACUGUCAGGCUAGAGUGUAGGAGAGGAAGGUAGAAUUCCCGGUGUAGCGGUGAAAUGCGUAGAGAUCGGGAGGAAUACCAGUGGCGAAGGCGGCCUCCUGGACUGACACUGACGCUGAGGUGCGAAAGCGUGGGUAGCAAACAGGAUUAGAUACCCGAGUAGUC